RNAcentral lists this long non-coding RNA (993 nucleotides) under Homo sapiens (human). RNAcentral describes it as "non-protein coding lnc-NRBP1-2:2". Lineage: Eukaryota; Metazoa; Chordata; Mammalia; Primates; Hominidae. The record is from RNAcentral.
CUACUCCGCUUCCUCGCGCAGGUGGCAGGUCGCCUCUGGCAGAACCUCUUCCUUCGUUCCCAGUCCCCAGCCUCUUGGCGUUUUGUCUGACGCCUCUUUUGUGUCGGACUCGACGCUUUCAGCCCGUCCUCCAGUGUUUUCAUCCCCCUCUCCCCAACGUUGCACUCUCAGACUCCGCAAACCCCGCCCGAUUUGGUUCAAUUAAAGUUGACCAGUAUUUGUUCCGAGCUUAGGAAGUACUUGGCCAGGCCAUGCGAGGCCUAUAUGAGAAGAAUGUGAGUCUUUUCUGAAAGCGAAGACCUCGAUCUGUGAUAUAAUUCGAGUUAAUACAAUGUAGAAAUGUUUGGUACAGCCUAUUCUGGGUGGGAAAAGCUCAAGGAUGGGAGGAGGAGCUGUUUCUUGGAGGAUUGAAAGGAUGUAGGCUCUCAGAGAGGAUGCCUCUGGAUUGCAUUAUGCCACAGGAAAAGGGAAUAAUGUUAUAAGGUUUGGAGGAGUGAGGGAAGAAUGUGAACUGCAUUUGGGGAGGAUUUCUGAGGAAGCUGGCUGGACUCGGAGAAUGAUUGUAAGUGGUAAUAUUAACUAGCUAGCUUGAUAAAAAGAAGCGCCAAGAUGAGUGACUUGGACUUCAUUGUCGUCCUGGUGUAACCUUUGGCAUCGUUUGUCUAGUCUUUGUAUGCAGUGUACAUUGGAGGGAGAGAGUCUGGGGCACUGUUGUGUUGUUGUUUUUUGUUUGUUUUUGAGACAGAGUCUCGCUCUGUCGCCCAGGCUACAAGCUCCGCCUCCCGGGUUCACGCCAUUCUCCUGCCUCAGCCUCCCGAGUAGCUGGGACUACAGGCGCCCGCCACCACGCCUGGCUAAUUUUUUGUAUUUUUAGUAGAGACGAGGUUUCACCGUGUUAGCCAGGAUGGUCUCCAUCUCCUGACCUCGUGAUCCGCCCGCCUCGGCCUCCCAAAGUGUUGGGAUUACAGGCGUGAGCCACCGCACCCCGCCUAC